CCUACGGGAGGCAGCAGUGAGGAAUAUUGGUCAAUGGGCGAGAGCCUGAACCAGCCAAGUCGCGUGAAGGAUGAAGGAUCUAUGGUUUGUAAACUUCUUUUAUAUGGGAAUAAAGUGAGGAACGUGUUCCUUUUUGUAUGUACCAUAUGAAUAAGCAUCGGCUAACUCCGUGCCAGCAGCCGCGGUAAUACGGAGGAUGCGAGCGUUAUCCGGAUUUAUUGGGUUUAAAGGGUGCGUAGGUGGUUAAUUAAGUCAGCGGUGAAAGUUUGUGGCUCAACCAUAAAAUUGCCGUUGAUACUGGCAGCCUUGAGUACAGUUGAGGUAGGCGGAAUUCGUGGUGUAGCGGUGAAAUGCUUAGAUAUCACGAAGAACUCCGAUUGCGAAGGCAGCUUACUAAACUGCCACUGACAUUGAUGCUCGAAAGUGUGGGUAUCAAACAGGAUUAGAUACCCCAGUAGUC
This 460-nucleotide ribosomal RNA is filed under the name uncultured bacterium. RNAcentral describes it as "partial 16S ribosomal RNA". It matches the Rfam family "Bacterial small subunit ribosomal RNA", at positions 338 to 795 of the family's 1533-position model. The record is from RNAcentral.